AACGAGAAAAUGCAAUAUUUUGCAUUUUUCUUAUUGCGAAAGUUACAAAAAUUCUCUUAAUUAAAAAAUUGGAAAGGUUAAUAUCGUAUAUGUAGGAAAUUAAAACACUUUUUUGCUUACGUGUUCACCAAAUACAGUAAAUGUCGUGGAAAUGUGAACGCUAUUCAUAUACACCCGUGCAUACUUAUGGUGAAAGAAACAAUAAACGGACGCGAAAUUGCAAUCGCAGAAAAAAAAGCAUAAAUAACAACAGCGACAGCGACAGCAUCGAAAGCAAAUUGAAGGGAAUGAAUGAUACAAACACACAUACAUAUUUAACAAGUGUUGCAUGUGUGAUUGUUUUCCGGCAUCGAUGUGUACUUUUGCACUCGCGACAUAUGGUAUGUGAAAAAAGUGUAUGAUAUUAUCUUCAAUUUGUUGUUACUUCUCUUAAACAGAGUCUCAAAAUCUUUGCUAUAAGCAUUAAUAAAUUUGUUUAAAUGAAGUUCUGUAGCCAAUUAUCGGACAAGAAUUCAUAUAAGUGGUAUGUGAAAAUUAUGAAAGUCUUCUAAAACUUCAAAAUGAAAUAGAAAAGGAAACCCUUUUUAAAAGUAGCUAAUUCGAUAAAUAACGUACAACAACAACGUAUAAAGCAUGGAUCAGUCUAAACGAUUCCGGAAUGAUAAAAAUGUAAUCGUCCCUCCGAUCGAUUCUUUCCACAUACAGAUGUAGUCGCUUUACUAUUCUCUAGAUUAAGUAUUCAAUCGCAGACUCUCUUUUCAGUUUCGACGCAUGUAGUGUAUUCUGUUGAAAUGCUACCCAAUUAACCGUCUUAUAGAUUACAUAAAUUUAAGCUUAUUGUCAACUGUUUUAUAAGUUCUUCACCUCACGUCAAACUCAGAGAUCACGUUUCCUCUUUCGUUUAUGCUUUUUUUUAAAUUUGUAUUGCUUCCUACAAAAUCCUUUGCUCUCAAUCGCCCAACAUUUUAAUAAAACGAGUUUACAGCUUCCUUAUAUAUCUCAUCCAUAACAUACGUACGGUAGGAGGGUAUUCAUAUCUUCUACAUCCAUCCAUUCCUCUUGCGAAACAAUCAUUGACUUUCUGCUCAGCGCUAUGUUCGGGUGCUUUACCACCCGUAAAACCUAUGUCAACCUUUUCAAUCUUUAGCACAUAAAUUUCUCUUGAUACUGCGGUCUGAUGAUCGUUGUUAUUAAGGACAUUAGGAUAAAGUUAAUUACUUGAGUAGUCUUUCCUUCCGAUUACACUUAUGUGACUAUCUCUUCUGGCACAUUUUGUGUUUGCAUUGUAAUUAUGUAAAUUGACUUAUGUAGUCGCAGAUAAAGUGUUCAUAUUGUCAUAACGUACUCAUACUGCCAAGGGGUUAUCGAUAUAAUAACAUUAUUGCUGUGGGAGUAAUUGACAUGACAGAGACGUUCUAAAAGAGCACAUAUUCUCAUCAGUGCGAAAGUAUUCAUGUGUCCGUCCGUCUUUCUAAUUGCAAUUCUUAAAGUAGUAAAAACUGAAAUAAACAAUUUGGGUUUUGUGAAUUCGGUUAAAUACGCAAGUGGUAAAAGAGUCCGAAAACGUCACGAAUUAAAACAAAUGUCAAUAUGCUAAGUUAAAUAUAAAAUAGUCAUGUCAACAAAUUUUUUGCCUUGAAAUUGAUUGUUUUAUGAAUUAGUAUUUAACGCUUUUAUUUCGUCCCAAAUUUUUUAGAUAGGUAGAUAGAUAAAUUUGACGUUGAUGCUUGUACACUACAAAUUUCGGUUGCUUACAAACUGCCAUUCAAUGUAUGCCAUAUCAAUGUGUAAAGAGACGGACGACAAUAGGCAGCAUCUACGGUACUGCAAGCUACUGAUUGACGACGAUCGAGUUCGCGUCGAGUUGACUCGAAAACUCGAAGUGUCUAGCGCGAUGGCACUCAUAAUAUCAUCAAUAAAUUUGAAUUUUAUCCCAACGCACAGACACGUUUAAUACCUAGUCUUAUAUAAAAA
Molecule: long non-coding RNA, 1974 nt
Organism: Glossina fuscipes
Lineage: Eukaryota; Metazoa; Arthropoda; Insecta; Diptera; Glossinidae
Exons: 2
Source: RefSeq, a predicted model, not a curated record